RNAcentral lists this ribosomal RNA (483 nucleotides) under uncultured bacterium. Its description in RNAcentral is "partial 16S ribosomal RNA". It matches the Rfam family "Bacterial small subunit ribosomal RNA", at positions 28 to 523 of the family's 1533-position model. The record is from RNAcentral.
GACGAACGCUGGCGGCGUGCUUAACACAUGCAAGUCGAACGAUGAAGCCUAGCUUGCUGGGUGGAAGAGUGGCGAACGGGUGAGUAACACGUGAGUAACCUGCCCAUGACUCUGGGAUAAGCGCUGGAAACGGCGUCUAAUACUGGAUAUGCACAGCGGCCGCAUGGUCAGUGGUGGGAAAGAUUUAUCGGUCAUGGAUGGACUCGCGGCCUAUCAGCUUGUUGGUGAGGUAAUGGCUCACCAAGGCGACGACGGGUAGCCGGCCUGAGAGGGUGACCGGCCACACUGGGACUGAGACACGGCCCAGACUCCUACGGGAGGCAGCAGUGGGGAAUAUUGCACAAUGGGCGCAAGCCUGAUGCAGCAACGCCGCGUGAGGGAUGACGGCCUUCGGGUUGUAAACCUCUUUUAGUAGGGAAGAAGCGUAAGUGACGGUACCUGCAGAAAAAGCACCGGCUAACUACGUGCCAGCCGCCGCCGUAA